RNAcentral lists this ribosomal RNA (1310 nucleotides) under Achaea serva. RNAcentral describes it as "16S ribosomal RNA". Lineage: Eukaryota; Metazoa; Arthropoda; Insecta; Lepidoptera; Erebidae. The record is from RNAcentral.
UUAAUAUUAAGAAAAUUAAGAUUAUUUUAAUGGGGGUUAAAGUAUUUUAAUAGAAAUAAUUUAAAGAUUUAUAGUGAAUUAGUAUUGUAAAAGAAUUUUGAAAUAAUUUAAAUAAUAAAUUAUUUAAAAGUAAUUUUUAUUUAGUGUAUCUUGUGUAUCAGAGUUUAUUAAUAAAUAUUUUUAGAAUAAUAAUAAUUCUCGAAUUUAAGAGAGAUAAUUAAUUAUAAAAGUUAUUGUGGCAUAAAUAUUUUAAAUAAUUAAUUGGAAAUGAAAUGUUAAUCGUUCUUAAAUAUAUCUAGUUUUUUUAGAAAAAAAUUUAAUUUUAAAUUUAUAAUUAAUUUAUUGAUUAAUUAAUUAAUCAAUAAAAAUUUAAAUUUUAUAAUUUAAGGGAUAAUCUUUAAAUUAAAUAAAUAUAAUAUGAAAAUUAUAUUUUAUUUGAAAAUUAUAUAAUUUAAAUUGUUAAUAAAUUUUAAUUUAUUAUAAAUAAUUUCAAUAAAAAUAAAAUUUAAUAAAAAAAUUUAUUUUUAUAUAAAAAAAUAAUUUUUAAUAAAGUAAAAUUAAUUAUAAUGAUAAAAUUAGUAUAUAAUUAAUUAUUUAAUAAAGUAAUUUAUUAUAAUUAAAUUAAUUAAAAGGAAUUCGGCAAAAUUUUAUAUUCACUUGUUUAUCAAAAACAUGUCUUUUUGAAAAUAAUAUAAAGUCUAGUCUGCCCACUGAUUUUUAUAAUUGAAGGGCUGCAGUAUAUUGACUGUACAAAGGUAGCAUAAUCAUUAGUCAUUUAAUUGAUGACUUGUAUGAAAGAUUGGAUGAAAUAUAAACUGUCUCUUAAUUAAUUUGUAGAAUUUAAUUUUUUAAUUAAAAAGUUAAAAUAAUUUAAAAAGACGAGAAGACCCUAUAGAGUUUUAUAUUUGAUUAAAUUAAAAUUAUUUAUAAAAUUAAAAAUUUAAAUUUAAUUAAUUAUUUUAUUGGGGUGAUAGAAAAAUAAAAUUAACUUUUUUUAAAUAUAAACAUAUAUAAGUGAGAAAAUGAUCCAAUUUUAUUGAUUAUAAGAAAAAAUUACCUUAGGGAUAACAGCGUAAUUUUUUUUUUUAGUUCAAAUAAAAAAAAGAGUUUGCGACCUCGAUGUUGGAUUAAGAUAAAAUUUAAAUGCAGAAGUUUAAAAUUUUGAUCUGUUCGAUCAUUAAAAUCUUACAUGAUCUGAGUUCAAACCGGUGUGAGCCAGGUUGGUUUCUAUCUUUUAUAAAAUAAAAUAUUUUAGUACGAAAGGAUUAAAUAUUUAAAUUAAAUUUUUUUUUUUUGAAUUUUAUUAAAUU